Phrynosoma platyrhinos (Desert horned lizard) is the source of this 73-nucleotide non-coding RNA. NCBI's taxonomy places the organism in Eukaryota, Metazoa, Chordata, Lepidosauria, Squamata, Phrynosomatidae. The record is from the annotation of a GenBank genome assembly.
AGCCAGUGUCGCAUAAUGGUUGGAGUGUUGAACUAAGAAUCUGGAGACCAGGGUCCGAGUCCCUGCUCGGCUA